RNAcentral lists this non-coding RNA (29 nucleotides) under Mus musculus (house mouse). Lineage: Eukaryota; Metazoa; Chordata; Mammalia; Rodentia; Muridae. The record is from RNAcentral.
UGGCCCGAGAGAACCUAGUGGAUUUGGCA